RNAcentral lists this ribosomal RNA (506 nucleotides) under uncultured bacterium. RNAcentral describes it as "partial 16S ribosomal RNA". It matches the Rfam family "Bacterial small subunit ribosomal RNA", at positions 28 to 523 of the family's 1533-position model. The record is from RNAcentral.
GAUGAACGCUAGCUACAGGCUUAACACAUGCAAGUCGAGGGGUAACGAGAGGGAAGCUUGCUUUCCUUGUCGACGACCGGCGCACGGGUGAGUAACGCGUAUCCAACCUGCCCCCACCUAGGGAAUAACCUUGCGAAAGUAAGACUAAUACCCUAUAAUUUCCUCAGAUGUCAUCUGACGAGGAAUAAAGAUUUAUCGGUUGUGGAUGGGGAUGCGUCUGAUUAGCUUGUUGGCGGGGUAACGGCCCACCAAGGCAACGAUCAGUAGGGGUUCUGAGAGGAAGGUCCCCCACAUUGAAACUGAGACACGGUCCAAACUCCUACGGGAGGCAGCAGUGAGGAAUAUUGGUCAAUGGGCGGAAGCCUGAACCAGCCAAGUAGCGUGCAGGAUGACGGCCCUAUGGGUUGUAAACUGCUUUUAUACAGGAAUAAAGUUAGCCACGUGUGGUUAUUUGUAGGUACUGUAUGAAUAAGGACCGGCUAAUUCCGUGCCAGCAGCCGCCGUAA